This 468-nucleotide ribosomal RNA is filed under the name uncultured bacterium. RNAcentral describes it as "partial 16S ribosomal RNA". It matches the Rfam family "Bacterial small subunit ribosomal RNA", at positions 28 to 507 of the family's 1533-position model. The record is from RNAcentral.
GACGAACGCUGGCGGCGUGCUUAACACAUGCAAGUCGAACGGAAAGGCCCUGCUUUUGUGGGGUGCUCGAGUGGCGAACGGGUGAGUAACACGUGAGUAACCUGCCCUUGACUUUGGGAUAACUUCAGGAAACUGGGGCUAAUACCGUAUAGGAGCUCCUGCUGCAUGGUGGGGGUUGGAAAGUUUCGGCGGUUGGGGAUGGACUCGCGGCUUAUCAGCUUGUUGGUGGGGUAGUGGCUUACCAAGGCUUUGACGGGUAGCCGGCCUGAGAGGGUGACCGGCCACAUUGGGACUGAGAUACGGCCCAGACUCCUACGGGAGGCAGCAGUGGGGAAUAUUGCACAAUGGGCGGAAGCCUGAUGCAGCAACGCCGCGUGCGGGAUGACGGCCUUCGGGUUGUAAACCGCUUUCGCCUGUGACGAAGCGUGAGUGACGGUAAUGGGUAAAGAAGCACCGGCUAACCACGUG